GACGUAGGAUGCAAGCGUUGUCCGGAUUUAUUGGGCGUAAAGAGUUCGUAGGCGGUUUAUUAAGUCUGGUGUCAAAGCCCGGGGCUCAACCUCGGUUCGGCGCCGGAUACUGGUAGACUAGAGUACGGUAGAGGUAAAGGGAAUUCCUGGUGUAGCGGUGAAAUGCGUAGAUAUCAGGAGGAACACCGGUGGCGAAAGCGCUUUACUGGGCCGAAACUGACGCUGAGGAACGAGAGCCGGGGAGCAAAUGGG
RNAcentral lists this ribosomal RNA (252 nucleotides) under uncultured microorganism. Its description in RNAcentral is "partial small subunit ribosomal RNA". It matches the Rfam family "Bacterial small subunit ribosomal RNA", at positions 524 to 776 of the family's 1533-position model. The record is from RNAcentral.